UUAUUAUAGCAAAGAGGAUACACCUGUUCCCAUUCCGAACACAGAAGUUAAGCUCUUAAGCGGCGAUGGUACUUGGGGGGCGACCCCCUGGGAGAGUAG
RNAcentral lists this ribosomal RNA (99 nucleotides) under uncultured Terrisporobacter sp. Lineage: Bacteria; Bacillati; Bacillota; Clostridia; Peptostreptococcales; Peptostreptococcaceae. The record is from RNAcentral.